Eriocheir sinensis (Chinese mitten crab) is the source of this 703-nucleotide long non-coding RNA. RefSeq lists it as uncharacterized. The record is from RefSeq and is a predicted model, not a curated record. The transcript has 6 exons. NCBI's taxonomy places the organism in Eukaryota, Metazoa, Arthropoda, Malacostraca, Decapoda, Varunidae.
UGAGAAAAUAGGAUGAAGGAGGAAGAAGAUGGAGAGAUAAAAGAGGAAUAAGAUAGAGGGGAGGACUAAGGGAAAUAGGUUAGGUCAGGUUAGGUUAGGUGAGGAGAAGGGAAAUGUAAGUUAGGUUAGGUCGGGUUAGGGGAGGAAAAGGGAAAUGUAGGUUAGGUUAGGUUAGGUGAGGAAAAGGGAAAUGUAGGUUAGGUUAGGUUAGGUGAGGAAAAGGGAAAUGUAGGUUAGGUUAGGUUAGGUGAGGAAAAGGGAAAUGUAGGUUAGGUUAGGUUAGGUGAGGAAAAGGGAAAUGUAGGUUAGGUUAGGUUAGGUGAGGAAAAGGGAAAUGUAGGUUAGGUUAGGUUAGGUGAGGAAAAGGGAAAUGUAGGUUAGGUUAGGUUAGGUGAGGAAAAGGGAAAUGUAGGUUAGGUGAGGUUAGGAAUAAGGGAAAUAUGGGUUAGCCUUUUUUAAUCAAGUUACAAGAGGUAUGGAAUGGAUGGAGAGGAGGAGUGAAGGAAAUAUGAUAAAGAAAGGAGAAUGCUAUGAACAAAAAUGAAAGAUGGAAAAGAAUGGUUGAAGGAAGAAGGAAAAGGAGGGAGAUAUGAUGAAGGAAGGAAUGAUAUGGACAAGAGGAAUGAAGGAAAUAUGAGUUACCCAGAGAAAUAGUGUGAAAUGGAGAGCAGAUAUGAGUUAAAUCUAUCUUAAGUUACAGAAG